GACGAACGCUGGCGGCGUGCUUAACACAUGCAAGUCGAACGGUGAAGCGCCUUCCUUUUUGGUGGGUGUGGAUGAGUGGCGAACGGGUGAGUAACACGUGAGUAACCUGCCCCCUUCUUCUGGAUAACCGCAUGAAAGUGUGGCUAAUACGGGAUAUUCUGGGUCUGUCGCAUGAUGGGUCUGGGAAAGAUAUUGUUUCGGUGGGGGAUGGGCUCGCGGCCUAUCAGCUUGUUGGUGGGGUGAUGGCCUACCAAGGCGGUGACGGGUAGCCGGCCUGAGAGGGUGGACGGUCACACUGGGACUGAGACACGGUCCAGACUCCGACGGGAGGCAGCAGUGGGGAAUAGUGCGCAAUGGGGGCUAGCCUGAUGCAGCGACGCCGCGUGAGGGAUGGAGGCCUUCGGGUUGUGAACCUCUUUCGCCAGUGAAGCAGGCCUGCCUCGUUUGUGGGUGGGUUGACGGUAGCUGGAUAAGAAGCGCCGGCUAACUACGUG
This 494-nucleotide ribosomal RNA is filed under the name uncultured bacterium. Its description in RNAcentral is "partial 16S ribosomal RNA". It matches the Rfam family "Bacterial small subunit ribosomal RNA", at positions 28 to 507 of the family's 1533-position model. The record is from RNAcentral.